Molecule: long non-coding RNA, 1529 nt
Organism: Quercus robur (English oak)
Lineage: Eukaryota; Viridiplantae; Streptophyta; Magnoliopsida; Fagales; Fagaceae
Exons: 6
Source: RefSeq, a predicted model, not a curated record
UUACAAUUUUAUUAUUAUUAUUAUUAUUUAACCUGAGAUAAAAAUCCCACUGUACAAGGGUCAGGUGCAACAGUACCUGGAAAAGCACAUGCUCUCUCGGAAAAUCGAAGACGCCGUCAAUGCCGUCGUUAGGGCCAAAACCCUCGAUCCCGUCAUCUUAAUCUCUCAUCAUAUGAGGAAAUCAGUUCCUUCGGUGAUCACGAAGAUUAAAGCGAGGCAGAUCCUCGAUAGCAGAGGAAUUCCUACCGUUGAAGUCGAUUUGUUCAACAACAAAGGCAUGUUCCGAGCCUCUGUUCCAAGCGGCGAUACUACUGGAAUGUGCAUUGGGAGUUCAACUCAAUGAAUGGUCAAGGAGAGUUCAAAUUUCACUAUUUGUGGGAUUGAAAGCUAGAACGUGUGUGAGUUCAAAUUACAAGUGCUUGAUUCCUCAAUGUGCUUGAAACUGUGGGAGGGGCUCAUUGGCUGGCAAAGAGUGUGGAAGCUAGGAAUAUAAACUCUUGGAAUGAUCCUCUUGGUGCACUUGUUGUUGGCAUUCAUCAGUUAGGGUUAUCUGGUUGGAAGCCAGAGGAAUCUGCUGCCAUUGAAAAUGAACUUCUUGCCUAGAGAGAGAGAGGUCUCUCUGAAAGGGAAGGUGCCAUCAUCUUCUUUUUGCUUUAGUUCUCUAUUGUAUGAUUAAUAAUACAAUAUUUAGGCUUGCAUCAAAAUUCGUAACCUGGGUCUCUCCCCCCCCCCCAAAAAAAAAAUGAAUAAUAAAGGAAGUGAAGAUGGCAAGAUGAUCUGGGCAUUAAGGCUUAAAGCUACUUUUGAUAGAGCCAGGAGGCUAACUGAAGAAUUUUCUGAAACACUUCUUCAAAUAUUCCCUCAAAAAGUCCAGGUAAGAAAGGAAAAAGAAAAGAAUUUGCUUUUCUUUUAGGUUGAAAAUAUCUAUGUAUCGUAUUAUUAAAGAUUUGAAACCUGCAUAUGGGUCUUCUCGGAUGAUGACUUUGUAAAAUACUAUUUUUCUUUGGGUACCUUAUUUCAUAAACAACAUGUGGAACGUAACUGAACAAACUGUAUGUUUUGUGCCCCCUGCUAAAAACCUCUACUCUCCACUGCUUAGUGCUUACAAGAUGUGUAUGGAGGCCACUUUAGUAGACAAUGGCUUGCAUUACAAAUGUGCUCUUGUGAUUCAUGGAAUGCAAUCAUGUCAUUUUGUAGGAGGUUAAACAAGAAUGAAUGAUCCCCAAGAGACACACACUUUGUUCCAAAUCAGUUAUGAAAUAAGGCAUCAAAAGAACUUAGCGAUUAAUGGGAUCUCAUGCACAUUGAAGAUGACCCGGCUAUAGAUGUCUGGAUGGCAGAUGUGAGUCACUAUGUUUUUAAAAUUUCCAAUGAAUUGGUCUUGAAGGUUAAAGGUUAUAAGAAUCUUCUAUUUUGAAAGGUAGGUGAACAAUGUAAAUUUAAGAGUGUAAAGGGCAGUAUGUAGAGUAGUUGAGUUGUAUUGAUUUUUACAGUUUGUUUCAGGUUAUUAAAUUUUGAUUAAUGUGAAA